Molecule: ribosomal RNA, 253 nt
Filed under: uncultured bacterium
Lineage: Bacteria
Description: partial 16S ribosomal RNA
Rfam family: Bacterial small subunit ribosomal RNA
Source: RNAcentral
GACGGAGGGUGCUAGCGUUGUUCGGAAUCACUGGGCGUAAAGCGCACGUAGGCGGAUUGUUAAGUCAGGGGUGAAAUCCUGGAGCUCAACUCCAGAACUGCCUUUGAUACUGGCGAUCUCGAGUCCGGGAGAGGUGAGUGGAACUGCGAGUGUAGAGGUGAAAUUCGUAGAUAUUCGCAAGAACACCAGUGGCGAAGGCGGCUCACUGGCCCGGUACUGACGCUGAGGUGCGAAAGCGUGGGGAGCAAACAGG